CUCCCUGAGCCUGGCAGGGACUGCCUCUGCCGGGAGUAGCCGGUUCCUGGAGAUGGUGAAUGAUGCCCCUGCCAGCGUGCUUUUCAGAUACAAACCAACCACUCCCGAGCACACACCCGGACCCCUACCCUUCAUCAGGAACCACACUAAAGCCUUCUGCCCACAAUCCCCAGCUUCCUGCCUCCUUGCUUCCCCCUGUGGAUCCUCGCGGCAGGCCGUGUGCACCCUCUCUGCUUGGGAACUAUUCAGGAUGUUUUCUCAUUUUGGAUUUUUGUCAUUCUACCAGUACCCAUUGAUUUAAGAGAUCUUCAUUCCAGUUGGAAUUGACUUCUGUGUAUGAAAUGAGGCUCUAACGAAAACCCAGGUCUCCCCUGAGGACACUUCCCCAAGGUCUUCGCAAGGGGUGGCUCUUGGUGCCCUCAUACCCCUCUCCCUUCUGAACUUGGAGAUGCUGUCGCUGUCUUCCUAGAUUUCACUGCUGCCUCGAGUCCCGCCGCGGUCCCCUGGCCACGUGCUUCCUUGGCCCCUGAAGGUCUGGCCACUGGCUGCUGUCAGGCUGCCCGAUACUGCGCCUGUCGUUGGUCUCAGGCGAAGCCACAUCCGUUCGGUGAGGUUCAUGACACCUGCUCGCCCAGCACACGCCCUCCUCUCCGGAUCGGGAGGGUGUCCUCGCCCUCUCUCAGUGCUCGAAGGCUUCCCUUGACUUUGCCAUCACUGCUGACUGUGACCGCUCCACAACCCAGUUCCAUGCAUCGAACUUCCAAACCAACCCUCUAACUGCACUCUUUCCGGCUCGGCCUAAUCCCCAAAUCCCUCAACUCGCCAACCGUCCAGGGAGCUACCGUCCAUUUUCCCAGCACCUUUCCAACUGCCCUGCCUGCUCCUUCCGCCUUUGCCUCCCUACUCAAUAAACUUGACUCUCAAAAACAUGAAUAAAGGA
Molecule: long non-coding RNA, 940 nt
Organism: Manis javanica (Malayan pangolin)
Lineage: Eukaryota; Metazoa; Chordata; Mammalia; Pholidota; Manidae
Source: RefSeq, a predicted model, not a curated record